GAAACCCAAGAAUGAGAAUUAACCCCAUGAUGGCAUACAAUUUGCAAAAGAAGACAACCCAAGGUAUCGCAAAUGGGGUAUGUUCAGAGUUUUUUUAGUAGCCAAAGUUAGCGUUUAUAAAUUUUUUGUAUUUUUAAACACAAACAAAUAUAAAUGCUAACUCUGGCCAGUGUUUGUGACUACUAAAAAAGACUGGGCAUGCCCCAUAUUGAAUACCAGGGGUUGUCUACUUUAAAAAAAAAAAAAAUGUAUAUGUGAGGUGUGAUUCAGAGAUUUGACAUAAGUGUUACAAUGUCAC
Molecule: non-coding RNA, 298 nt
Organism: Pelobates cultripes (western spadefoot toad)
Lineage: Eukaryota; Metazoa; Chordata; Amphibia; Anura; Pelobatidae
Source: the annotation of a GenBank genome assembly